This 779-nucleotide ribosomal RNA is filed under the name uncultured Moraxella sp. RNAcentral's name for it is "bacterial SSU rRNA". It matches the Rfam family "Bacterial small subunit ribosomal RNA", at positions 560 to 1334 of the family's 1533-position model. Lineage: Bacteria; Pseudomonadati; Pseudomonadota; Gammaproteobacteria; Moraxellales; Moraxellaceae. The record is from RNAcentral.
GUAAAGCGAGUGUAGGUGGCUCAUUAAGUCACAUGUGAAAUCCCCGGGCUUAACCUGGGAACUGCAUGUGAUACUGGUGGUGCUAGAAUAUGUGAGAGGGAAGUAGAAUUCCAGGUGUAGCGGUGAAAUGCGUAGAGAUCUGGAGGAAUACCGAUGGCGAAGGCAGCUUCCUGGCAUAAUAUUGACACUGAGAUUCGAAAGCGUGGGUAGCAAACAGGAUUAGAUACCCUGGUAGUCCACGCCGUAAACGAUGUCUACUAGCCGUUGGGGUCCUUGAGACUUUAGUGGCGCAGUUAACGCGAUAAGUAGACCGCCUGGGGAGUACGGGCGCAAUGUUAGAACUCAGAUGAAUUGACGGGGGCCCGCACAAGCGGUGGAGCAUGUGGUUUAAUUCGAUGCAACGCGAAGAACCUUACCUGGUCUUGACACAGUGAGAAUCUCUCAGAGAUGAGCGAGUGCUCUCGGGUACUCACAUACAGGUGCUGCAUGGCUGUCGUCAGCUCGUGUCGUGAGAUGUUGGGUUAAGUCCCGCAACGAGCGCUACCCUUUUCCUUAUUUGCCAGCGGGUUAAGCCGGGAACUUUAAGGAUACUGCCAUGUGACAAACUGGAGGAAGCGCGGGGACGACGUUCAAGUCAUCAUGGCCCUUACGACCAGGGCUACACACGUGCUACAAUGGUAGGUACAGAGGGUUGCUACACAGCGAUGUGAUGCUAAUCUCAAAAAGCCUAUCGUAGUCCGGAUUGGAGUCUGCAACUUGACUCCAUGAAGUCGGAAUCG